GAGUUUGAUCCUGGCUCAGAUUGAACGCUGGCGGCGUGCUUAACACAUGCAAGUCGAACGAGAAAGGGACUUCGGUCCUGAGUAGAGUGGCGCACGGGUGAGUAACGCGUAGGUAAUCUACCUCUGCAUCUGGGAUAACACUUCGAAAGGGGUGCUAAUACCGGAUACACUUAUGAAUCGCAAGGUUCAUAAGGAAAGGAGACCUCUCCUUGGAAGUUUCUGUGUAGAGAUGAGCCUGCGUCCCAUUAGCUAGUUGGCAGGGUAAUGGCCUACCAAGGCGACGAUGGGUAGCGGGUCUGAGAGGAUGAUCAGCCACACUGGAACUGAGACACGGUCCAGACUCCUACGGGAGGCAGCAGUGGGGAAUUUUGCGCAAUGGGGGAAACCCUGACGCAGCAACGCCGCGUGAGUGAUGAAGGCUUUCGGGUCGUGAAGCUCUGUCAGAGGGGAAGAAAUGAAACGUGCUAAUAUCACGUUUUCUUGACGGUACCCUCAAAGGAAGCACCGGCUAACUCCGUGCCAGCAGCCGCGGUAAUAC
This 538-nucleotide ribosomal RNA is filed under the name uncultured Geobacteraceae bacterium. Its description in RNAcentral is "bacterial SSU rRNA". It matches the Rfam family "Bacterial small subunit ribosomal RNA", at positions 9 to 526 of the family's 1533-position model. The record is from RNAcentral. Lineage: Bacteria; Pseudomonadati; Thermodesulfobacteriota; Desulfuromonadia; Geobacterales; Geobacteraceae.